Molecule: ribosomal RNA, 229 nt
Filed under: uncultured bacterium
Lineage: Bacteria
Description: partial 16S ribosomal RNA
Rfam family: Bacterial small subunit ribosomal RNA
Source: RNAcentral
UGCGCAGGCGGAAUAUUAAGUCAGUGGUGAAAUCCUGCAGCUUAACUGUAGAAUUGCCAUUGAUACUGAUCUUCUUGAAUUUAGUUGAGGUGGGCGGAAUGUGUAAUGUAGCGGUGAAAUGCUUAGAUAUUACACAGAACACCGAUUGCGAAGGCAGCUCACUAAACUAACAUUGACGCUAAGGUACGAAAGCGUGGGGAGCGAACAGGAUUAGAUACCCUGGUAGUCC